CCUACGGGGCGCAGCAGUGAGGAAUAUUGGUCAAUGGACGAGAGUCUGAACCAGCCAAGUAGCGUGAAGGAUGACUGCCCUAUGGGUUGUAAACUUCUUUUAUAUGGGAAUAAAAUGUUCCACGUGUGGGAUUUUGUAUGUACCAUAUGAAUAAGGAUCGGCUAACUCCGUGCCAGCAGCCGCGGUAAUACGGAGGAUCCGAGCGUUAUCCGGAUUUAUUGGGUUUAAAGGGAGCGUAGGUGGAUUGUUAAGUCAGUUGUGAAAGUUUGCGGAUCAACCGUAAAAUUGCAGUUGAAACUGGCAGUCUUGAGUACAGUAGAGGUGGGCGGAAUUCGUGGUGUAGCGGUGAAAUGCUUAGAUAUCACGAAGAACUCCGAUUGCGAAGGCAGUUCACUGGACUGCAACUGACACUGAGGCUCGAAAGUGUGGGUAUCAAACAGGAUUAGAUACCCGAGUAGUC
Molecule: ribosomal RNA, 460 nt
Filed under: uncultured bacterium
Lineage: Bacteria
Description: partial 16S ribosomal RNA
Rfam family: Bacterial small subunit ribosomal RNA
Source: RNAcentral